AUUGAACGCUGGCGGCAUGCUUUACACAUGCAAGUCGAACGGUAACAGGCCGCAAGGUGCUGACGAGUGGCGAACGGGUGAGUAAUGCAUCGGAACGUGCCCAGUCGUGGGGGAUAACGCAGCGAAAGCUGCGCUAAUACCGCAUACGAUCUAUGGAUGAAAGCGGGGGGACCGUAAGGCCUCGCGCGAUUGGAGCGGCCGAUGUCAGAUUAGGUAGUUGGUGGGGGUAAAAGGCUCACCAAGCCAGCGAUCUGUAGCUGGUCUGAGAGGACGACCAGCCACACUGGGACUGAGACACGGCCCAGACUCCUACGGGAGGCAGCAGUGGGGAAUUUUGGACAAUGGGCGCAAGCCUGAUCCAGCAAUGCCGCGUGCAGGA
RNAcentral lists this ribosomal RNA (379 nucleotides) under uncultured bacterium. Its description in RNAcentral is "bacterial SSU rRNA". It matches the Rfam family "Bacterial small subunit ribosomal RNA", at positions 29 to 408 of the family's 1533-position model. The record is from RNAcentral.